AUCCAUAUGACGAGUCACAAAUAAGACGAAACGCUCGUUAUGGAU
This 45-nucleotide non-coding RNA is filed under the name Schistosoma mansoni. The record is from RNAcentral. Lineage: Eukaryota; Metazoa; Platyhelminthes; Trematoda; Strigeidida; Schistosomatidae.